UACGUAUGGAGCGAGCGUUGUCCGGAAUUAUUGGGCGUAAAGGGUACGCAGGCGGUUUAAUAAGUCGAAUGUUAAAGAUCGGGGCUCAACCCCGUAAAGCAUUGGAAACUGAUAAACUUGAGUAGUGGAGAGGAAAGUGGAAUUCCUAGUGUAGUGGUGGAAUACGUAGAUAUUAGGAGGAAUACCAGUAGCGAAGGCGACUUUCUGGACACAAACUGACGCUGAGGUACGAAAGCGUGGGGAGCAAACAGG
This 252-nucleotide unclassified non-coding RNA is filed under the name uncultured Eubacteriales bacterium. RNAcentral describes it as "contains 16S-23S intergenic spacer region". It matches the Rfam family "Bacterial small subunit ribosomal RNA", at positions 524 to 776 of the family's 1533-position model. Lineage: Bacteria; Bacillati; Bacillota; Clostridia; Eubacteriales. The record is from RNAcentral.